This 72-nucleotide transfer RNA is filed under the name Trigonopterus daun. RNAcentral's name for it is "tRNA-Ile". Lineage: Eukaryota; Metazoa; Arthropoda; Insecta; Coleoptera; Curculionidae. The record is from RNAcentral.
CAUAGUGUGCCUGGGAAAAAAGGAUUAUUUUGAUAGAAUAAAUUACACAGGACCCCCCUCCUGUCUCUAUGA